This 497-nucleotide ribosomal RNA is filed under the name uncultured bacterium. RNAcentral's name for it is "partial 16S ribosomal RNA". It matches the Rfam family "Bacterial small subunit ribosomal RNA", at positions 28 to 507 of the family's 1533-position model. The record is from RNAcentral.
GAUGAACGCUGGCGGCGUGCCUAAUACAUGCAAGUCGAGCGAACAGACCAUGCGUUUGCUCCUCUCACGUUAGCGGCGCGCGGGUGAGUCACACGUGGAUCACCUCCCUAUAAUACGGGGAUCACUUCGAGAAUCCGGAUCUAACCCCGUAUAAUCUCUUGCUGCGUAUGGUUCAAUAGUAAAAUUCGGUGUUUGUGUCUCUUCUCGCUGCAUCCGGGCGGCUUUAGCUAGUCGGUACGGUAACGGCUUAUCACGGCAAGGAUGCGUAGCCGACCGGAUAGGGGGAUCGGCCACACGGGAAGGUAGACGCGGUCCAGACGCCUACGGGAGGCAGCAGAAGGGAAUCGUCCGCAAUGGUCGAAAGCUUGACGGAGCAGCGCCGCGUGAGAGAUGAAGGUCUUCGGAGCGUAAAACUCUGUUAUUAGGGAAGAACAAAUGUGUAAGUAACUAUGCACGUCUUGACGGUACCUAAUCAGAAAGCCACGGCUAACUACGUG